This 253-nucleotide ribosomal RNA is filed under the name uncultured bacterium. RNAcentral describes it as "partial 16S ribosomal RNA". It matches the Rfam family "Bacterial small subunit ribosomal RNA", at positions 524 to 776 of the family's 1533-position model. The record is from RNAcentral.
UACAUGGGGUGCAAACGUUGCUCGGAAUUAUUGGGCGUAAAGCGCACGUAGGCGGUCCAGUAAGUCGGUUGUGAAAGCCCUCGGCUUAACCGAGGAAGUGCAGUCGAAACUGCUGGACUUGAGUACUGAAGAGGGUCGCGGAAUUCCCGGUGUAGAGGUGAAAUUCGUAGAUAUCGGGAGGAACACCAGUGGCGAAGGCGGCGACCUGGGCAGAUACUGACGCUGAGGUGCGAAAGCGUGGGGAGCAAACAGG